GACGAACGCUGGCGGCGUGCUUAACACAUGCAAGUCGAACGCUGAAGCUCAGCUUUUGUUGGGUGGCUGAGUGGCGAACGGGUGAGUAACACGUGAGUAACCUGCCUCCUUCUUUGGGAUAACGCCCGGAAACGGGUGCUAAUACUGGAUAUUCACUGGUCUUCGCGUGGGGGUUGGUGGAAAGGGUUUUUCUGGUGGGGGAUGGGCUCGCGGCCUAUCAGCUUGUUGGUGGGGUGAUGGCCUACCAAGGCUUUGACGGGUAGCCGGCCUGAGAAGGUGACCGGUAACAGUGGGACGGAGAUACGGCCCAGACUACGACGGGGGGCAGAAGUGGGGAAUAUUGGAGAAUGGGCGCAAGAGUGAUGCAGCGACGGUGAGUGAGGGAUGGAGGCCUUCGGGUUGUGAACCUGUUUCGGUCAUGGUCAAGCCGAAAAAAUGGUUGUGGUGAGGGUAGUGGGUAAAGAAGCGCCGGCUAACUACGUG
RNAcentral lists this ribosomal RNA (483 nucleotides) under uncultured bacterium. Its description in RNAcentral is "partial 16S ribosomal RNA". It matches the Rfam family "Bacterial small subunit ribosomal RNA", at positions 28 to 507 of the family's 1533-position model. The record is from RNAcentral.